GAGGCUGCGUGACAACCACACUGUCUAAAAACCGUUGAAGAUAAGUGCACGUGUAAGAUUGUCCAAGCAGGUUAUUCCAGGUGACUUUUUGGGCUUGCCAGGAAGUUGAUGUGAAAAUAAGCGUAGCACAACAUCAGCAGGAUUUUUUGAAGGACUUUGGUGGAGAAGACACAUCUGAAGGCGUCUUUCUCAGCAAGGAAAUGACGUUCUUGUUUUCCACCACAUGUGGUUCAUUGCAGCUUGCAGUAUGUUCUUGGUUUUAUUUCCUCCAAAAGAGAUGGGCGGUAUAUGCAGAGCUGCAAAUACAGAAGUGAGAUUGCGUUUGGCGCCAGUUAAGUCAGUGUGCAUCUUCGACGGACGUUACUUUUUCUCAUUUGUACACGGGGCUGGAGUACCGUGACUGGAGGGAAAGUCAUCCACAAAAGGGUUGGCAACAAGAGCUGUCCAUCGAGUGCACAGACAACCCGUUAGGACGACCUGCAGUCGUCGUAUAUGAUAAUGAAACAGUCCCGAUGGUCAUGGAACCACCGAGGCCUGAGGCACCACGCAACGACUACAAUAACGCUAUGUUAUACAAUUAUCACCUUUUUAUGUGUAUUAUUUUAUUUAUUGGAGGAGUGCAACAAACUAAUCAGACAUAGAACUGUCACUUGGCAGCGCUGUGGCUCAUACUUCCUUUCAAAUAUAACUAAAUAUUUGAAUUAAAGGAUGUUAUGUGUUGGAUGUUUUGGAGUCUUUGCUUGAUGUUAUGCAAACUGUGGACAAAUGAGACUUUUUUCCGCUCAAAUACAUAUUUCCUCAAAUGUUUAUUAGAAAGGAAAGCUAUUUGUUUGAAGGGAGGCCUUUAUUUGCAUAAACGCACUUUUACAAUAUGUCUUAAUAUCAAAAGUUAAGUUGUUUAUUUGAGGUGAGGCCUAUAUUUGUAUAAAACAAUAGAGGCAAGGUGUCUACUUGAGAUGUCCUAAUGCAUUCAUAAAACAAUGAUAAAUAACAUAUUUAUAUUGCUUUUCACAAAAUAUGUAUUAUGACUGCACUUCUAUAAUAUUUAUUAAUAGUAAAGCCAAGGUGUUUAUUUGAAGGGAAGGCAUUUAGUUGAACAAAAAUGCACUUUAAAAAUAUUGAAUCUAUCAAAUGUCAGGUGUUUUCUUUUUUAGGGGAGGUUUAAAAAUAUGUAUUCAUGUUAAAAGGCAUGUUUAUUUGAGGGGAGGCCUUCAUGUGUACAAAUACACUUUUUAAAUUUUUAUCAAGAGUAAAUUUAAGGGGUGAAGGGAUGCCUUUAUUUGUACAAAUGCAACUUCAAAAUAUUUAAUAAAAAAGGUAAGUUGUUUAUUUGAGGGGAGGCUUCUAUUUGUAUAAAUACACUUUAGAGGUGAGGUGUCUAUUUGAGAUGUCCAUAGGCAUUCAUAAAAUCAAGUUUCAUCAUGUGGAUGCAUUAGUAAAUGAACAGUUAAUUCGUGAUACUAUACAUUUACCCCACAAACAAACAUAACGCUAGUGCGUCCGUGUGUGCAAGCGUUUGUGUUGAAGGUGGUCAUCCAGCCAUGACGUACGCAAGCGUAAGCCGAUGAGAAACACUGACACACAUUACAGUAUGACAUACCAUCUCCUUUGAAAAAACAACAUUUUAUCCAAACACAGAACAUCACAAACAACCAACAGUAAAAAGUCAUGUACAAAACAACAAAAAGCUGUUAAAGCAACAUAUUGUUUCGCUUACUGCCAGGCAAACACUCCUCAAAGUGAAAACAAAAUAACAGUACCAAUCUGUCCAUUGAUGGGAUCAUGAAUGGAGAAGCCCCCGGCUGCGUCUCGCGUGCUCAAACGUCUGCAAACAAGUGCCAAGAGAGACAGUUGAGAUAUACACACGUAGUGGUGUGGAAAAGUUUGCAUGUUUGUCACACAUGUUUCAGAUCACCAAACAAAUGUAAAUAAUAGUCCAUGACAACACAACUCAACACUUUAGGCACUUUUUUAAUAAAACUUCUUAUUAUGAAGGGAGGGAAAAAAAAGCCCUGUGUGAAAAGUGAUUGCCCCCUAAAGCUAAUAAGUGGUUGCCCCCCCCUUAGCAGCAACAACUGCAAUCAACUUGCAAUGAGUCUCUUCCAGCGCUGGGGAGGAAUUUAGCAGAAUUGUUGUCAUUCAGCCACAUUGGAGGCUUCUCCUUUUGAAUGUCAUGGGUCAUGCCACAGCAUCUCAAUAGGAUUCAGGUCAGGACAGGUCAAUUUAUUUAUUUAUUUAUUUAUUUAUUUAUUUAUUUAUAUGUAUUAUUUACUUGUAUUGAUGUC
Long non-coding RNA from Dunckerocampus dactyliophorus (ringed pipefish), 2285 nucleotides. RefSeq lists it as uncharacterized. The transcript is spliced from 3 exons. Lineage: Eukaryota; Metazoa; Chordata; Actinopteri; Syngnathiformes; Syngnathidae. The record is from RefSeq and is a predicted model, not a curated record.